RNAcentral lists this ribosomal RNA (252 nucleotides) under uncultured bacterium. Its description in RNAcentral is "partial 16S ribosomal RNA". It matches the Rfam family "Bacterial small subunit ribosomal RNA", at positions 525 to 776 of the family's 1533-position model. The record is from RNAcentral.
ACGGAGGGUGCAAGCGUUGUUCGGAUUUACUGGGCGUAAAGCGCGCGCAGGCGGGUCAGCAAGUCAGAUGUGAAAUCCCAGGGCUCAACCCUGGAACUGCGUCUGAAACUGUUGGCCUAGAGUCUCAUAGGGGGUAGGGGAAUUUCACGUGUAGGGGUAAAAUCCGUAGAGAUGUGAAGGAACACCGGUGGCGAAGGCGCCUACCUGGAUGAGUACUGACGCUGAGGCGCGAAAGCGUGGGGAGCAAACAGG